This 1227-nucleotide long non-coding RNA is filed under the name Felis catus (domestic cat). Its description in RNAcentral is "lncRNA (ENSFCAG00000050550.1)". Lineage: Eukaryota; Metazoa; Chordata; Mammalia; Carnivora; Felidae. The record is from RNAcentral.
AAAGGGAUGUAAGCACGGGGCCACGACUCCGAUAACCGGUUUCCCUGCACCGUGCAACGAGCCCGCCGCGCCCUAGGGGAACUCCGAACCUCAACAGAAGAAAAGUUUCGCCCGCUCCGGUGCAGCGAACUGCCUUGGGAGCACCCGAAGGGGCCGGAAAAUACCUGUACGACACUGCCAAGAGCAAAGCCGGGCUUCUAGAAAAACCGGAGAGAAGGCGGAGCUUCGGAGCAAGACCCAACGGCGCCGAUCUAACACCCCCGGCUCCAGGUUCUUGCCGAACCUGGAAGUGCUCCUUUUACUUCCGUGGGGAAGAGGCGGUGACAAAGAGAUACGGUGAGAAAACAGGAGGUGAUCAGAAUUUAUGCUUCCUUUUUAAAAUUCAGAGCUAGCAAAGUGCAUCACAGAGAGCAAAAACCAAACCAAGAAAGUAAAUACGUUGUUUUAUUGAAUCCAAGAAGAUGAAGAGAAUAUUUGCUGCAUGGAGUGGUUUAUUGCCAGAGCAGUUGUUGGGGAAACAGCUAUUCCUACAUUAAAAAUGACAUUUACAGAAUCAACUAUCAAAUUAUUCGCAGAAAACAUUUAAAAUGAAAUUUUUGUUUUCAUUUAAGACAUUUAAAAUGAAAUUUAAUUCCCAACUCCAAUGUCAAAGAAGGUUAUGAACAUCGUUUACAGUAUUAAUUAUGCAGAGUAGGGGGAGGGUUGCAGACUCACAAAUGAGUUGCCAGUUUAGAUGGAAACCACUCACUCUGAAAAGCCUAAUAAGAGAUUUCUUUGAAGUACCACGUGCUUCAAACGCUGGGAGAAUAUUGGAGACUCAUAGAGGUUUCUAAGGCCUUAUACUUUACCAGAAUCAUUUUUGAAGUUAAAACAUUUCUUCACAUCCUGUCACGUCAUAAAAUAGAAUAUGCCCUCUACUGAUGUUUAUGAAAAUCCAAGAAUGCCCAAGUCAAGUUCUUUUGUGUACAAAUAACCUCUCUGUUCGAUACUGAAAACAGGCAGGGGGCACCUGGCUGGCUCAGUCGGUGGAGCAGGCAACUCUUGAUCUCAGGGUUGGAAAUUCGAGCUCCGCGUUGGGUGUAGAGAUUACUUAAAAAAAAAAAAAAAAAAAAAUUACAAAAUACCGAAAACAGGAAGUCCUAAAAGGAGAAGUGAUGUACAGAGUAAGGAAUACCUAACUGAGGUAUGACUUAUUGGUUAGCACUCAUUUACCAGGAAAUGGAAGGG